RNAcentral lists this transfer RNA (68 nucleotides) under Marmota monax (woodchuck). RNAcentral describes it as "tRNA.Ala". The stretch from base 5 to 65 matches the Rfam family "tRNA", at positions 6 to 65 of the family's 71-position model. From Rfam's summary of the family: Transfer RNA (tRNA) molecules are approximately 80 nucleotides in length. Their secondary structure includes four short double-helical elements and three loops (D, anti-codon, and T loops). The record is from RNAcentral. Lineage: Eukaryota; Metazoa; Chordata; Mammalia; Rodentia; Sciuridae.
GGAAUGUGGCUCAGUGGUAGAGUACUUGCCUAGCAUGUAUGAGGCCCUGGGUUCAAUCCCCAGCACCA